GUGCUUACUACAGCAGCACAUAUAUACUAAAAUUGGAAUGAUACAAAGAAGAUUAGCAUGGCCCCUGUGCAAAGAUGACACAAAUUCAUGAAGCGUUCCCUAUUUCA
This 107-nucleotide small nuclear RNA is filed under the name Pan paniscus (pygmy chimpanzee). RNAcentral also lists the same sequence under 1 other name. Lineage: Eukaryota; Metazoa; Chordata; Mammalia; Primates; Hominidae. The record is from RNAcentral.